This 253-nucleotide ribosomal RNA is filed under the name uncultured bacterium. RNAcentral describes it as "partial 16S ribosomal RNA". It matches the Rfam family "Bacterial small subunit ribosomal RNA", at positions 524 to 776 of the family's 1533-position model. The record is from RNAcentral.
UACGUAGGGGGCAAGCGUUGUCCGGAUUUAUUGGGCGUAAAGAGCGUGUAGGCGGCUGGGUAGGUCCGUUGUGAAAACUCGAGGCUCAACCUCGAGACGCCGAUGGAAACCCUCCAGCUAGAGUCCGGAAGAGGAGAGUGGAAUUCCUGGUGUAGCGGUGAAAUGCGCAGAUAUCAGGAAGAACACCCGUGGCUAAGGCGGCUCUCUAGGACGGUACUGACGCUGAGACGCGAAAGCGUGGGGAGCGAACAGG